UGCCGCGGAUCAGGAACCCUCCCACCUCCCGGGACAUGAGAAUUUCUUCUGCAGCGCCACGGCUGGCGUUCUCCUGGAACCAGCUGCACACAAACACCACGGAGAAUAAAACGGAACAUAGCCUUUAAGAAUGACUUCAACAGAAGAAGAACAUACUGAAAUCAUUCUCAUGGCUGUCACAAGGUUGUGAUCUAACAGGAAACAUGGCAAGCACAUCACACACACAACACUGUUGCCAAGCAUAUUAACAAAUUCAAAAAGUCAGUCCCAAAGUGUUGUGGACCAGUUGAGAAGAAGUGAACAUAUGAACAUCCCCUGACGAAGGCACAACCCACGUGGUUCUGGCAAACAUGGUCCCCUAUCUACUGUACGGAGACUUUUGGGACACCCUGUAUUUAUAAGAAUUCCACAUAAUUCAGGGAGAUUUCUGUGAAUCGGAAUCUGAUUUGUGCUUUGCUGCAUUGUGGUAAAAAAAACAACAAAAAAAAAACACUGCCACAGGAAAUGGUCUUAACAGGAAGACCGCUGCUCUGAAGACCUUCAUGACUGAGUGUGAGUUAAUAUACGUUUAUAUGAAUUAGUGUGACCUCAUAAAAUGUUUGAACAUUCUGCAAAAUAUCUGCAAAAAGUUCUGAUGCUCAAAAAUGGA
This is a long non-coding RNA of Ictalurus punctatus (channel catfish), 649 nucleotides long. RefSeq lists it as uncharacterized. The record is from RefSeq and is a predicted model, not a curated record. The transcript has 3 exons. Lineage: Eukaryota; Metazoa; Chordata; Actinopteri; Siluriformes; Ictaluridae.